Molecule: transfer RNA, 81 nt
Filed under: Brevundimonas diminuta
Lineage: Bacteria; Pseudomonadati; Pseudomonadota; Alphaproteobacteria; Caulobacterales; Caulobacteraceae
Description: tRNA-Met
Source: RNAcentral
GGUAGAACAACCGUCUAAGGGUGGCAGGACGGCGGCUUCAUAACCCACAGGUCGGCGGUUCGAUCCCGCCUCCAACCACCA